RNAcentral lists this ribosomal RNA (777 nucleotides) under uncultured Neocallimastigales. RNAcentral's name for it is "partial large subunit ribosomal RNA". It matches the Rfam family "Eukaryotic large subunit ribosomal RNA", at positions 23 to 645 of the family's 3401-position model. Lineage: Eukaryota; Fungi; Neocallimastigomycota; Neocallimastigomycetes; Neocallimastigales. The record is from RNAcentral.
AGAGAGAGACAUGCGCGCAUAUCAAUAAGCGGAGGAAAAGAAACUAACUAGGAUUCCCUUAGUAACGGCGAGUGAAGCGGGAAGAGCUCAAAUUUGAAAUCUUCAAGGUUCUACCUUGACGAAUUGUAGUUUAAAGAAGUGUUUUCUGCUGGAAGUUUCGGUAAAAGUUCUUUGGAAUAGGACAUCAUAGAGGGUGAGAAUCCCGUAUUUGACCAUUAUUUUCAGCUUUGUGAUACACUUUCAAAGAGUCGGAUUGUUUGGGAAUGCAGUCCAAAAUGGGUGGUAAAUUUCAUCUAAAGCUAAAUAUUGGCGAGGGACCGAUAGCGAACAAGUACCGUGAGGGAAAGAUGAAAAGAACUUUGAAAAGAGAGUUAAACAGUACGUGAGAUUGUCAAAAGGGAAGCGUUUGACACCAGUGUUGUUUUUCUCGAAAAUCAAUUAAAAAUGGCUCGAUUUUGUAUUGCUUGAGACCUUAAAAGCUCACUGUACAUUUUUCGUGUCUUUUUUAAUGCACUUUUCGUUUAACAAGUCAACAUCAGUUUCUUUUGUUGUAAAAGGGUCAUUGGAAGGUGGCUUUCUUUUCGGAGAAAGUGUUUAUAGCCUUUGGCCUCUGCAAUCGGAGAGACUGAGGUCUGCAGCGUAGACUCUUCGGGGUUAGAUACAUUUGUGCUAAGUUAUAGCUUUUUAUAGACAACUUGUUGACUAUAAUUAGUCUUGUAGCUUACUCGCUUAUGCUAUUUUACCUACGCUUAGGAUGUUGAAGUCAUCGUAUCGCGC